CCUGCACACACACACACAUGCACGCAUGCACACACACACACACAGAAGCCCAGUUCCCUCUAGCUCCAGCACAGACUCUUAUCUCCAGCCCUGACUGCCGAAACCCUCCAGCCCCAGCUCCAGCCCCUCAGGAGGGGACUGCGUGGGAGGAAUGACUCCAGCAAGCCGGCAGCUGACCCGUCUCCUGCCUGCACGCCUCCCGCUGUGGUCCACUGCCGGUGGUCUUCAGCUCUCUCCUCGUCCCACCCCCAUGGUCUGCUGACAGCCCAGCUCAGUGCAUCCCUGCCAUCUCUGCUCUACCGCUGGUCCUCCCAACAACCAACUUACAGGGUUUCACUCCCGUCACCCAGACUGGAGUACAAUGGUGCGAUCUCAGCUCACUGCAACCUCU
This 391-nucleotide long non-coding RNA is filed under the name Homo sapiens (human). RNAcentral describes it as "HSALNT0351656". Lineage: Eukaryota; Metazoa; Chordata; Mammalia; Primates; Hominidae. The record is from RNAcentral.